ACCUUUGAAAAUUGGUCCUUAGUGGAAGAAACCAGAGGAGUUUGCCUUGUUUGAGCAACAAUUGAAGCAGGAAAAGCUUAAAAAAUCGAACCAUCAGCUUCAUUGUUCAUUAGCAGGCCUCUCAUCAACCGAAGUGCUGCCUCAGCCAAAUCUCUUGAGUCAAAAACUUGAAGUCCAAUCUUCCUCAGCUGAGUUGGAUUGUAUGCGACUUCAAUCCAAAGCAAGUCCUGUUGUUAUUCCAGCCUGUGUUUAACAAUGUUGUCUAAGUUAUUAGGAAGGUUAUUUAAGACAGUUCAUCAUGUUGGCAACUAACAUUGAUCCUUUAAUGUCUAGUCAUUACAAUGUGAAUUAGAAUGGUAACGAAGACUACAUGUUAGCUGCUCAACACGCAACUUAGACGUUUGGAUUGCUCAUGUAAAGCUGGUGUUGCAUGUAGUCUAUCAACUAUUUGUCCUGCAAACUCUUGGGGUAGUAUAUGGACCAUCAAGAAAUGCUUUAUUCUCCUCUCCAACCGACGUGGGAUCUCACAUGUGCGAGAUUAAAGGACAUUGUACAUUUAGUGUACGUGAGAUAUACGUCGAACUUCUAUUGAUAUAGUUGAGAGUAUCCAUUUGUAAUCCGUUAAGCUCUAUAUUUCAGGUCAACUUGAUCUGUAUAUAUCUUUUUAUUAAGACGUUUUCAAAUUGGUUAA
Long non-coding RNA from Cucurbita moschata (crookneck pumpkin), 691 nucleotides. RefSeq lists it as uncharacterized. The record is from RefSeq and is a predicted model, not a curated record. NCBI's taxonomy places the organism in Eukaryota, Viridiplantae, Streptophyta, Magnoliopsida, Cucurbitales, Cucurbitaceae. The transcript has 2 exons.